Molecule: ribosomal RNA, 453 nt
Filed under: uncultured bacterium
Lineage: Bacteria
Description: bacterial SSU rRNA
Rfam family: Bacterial small subunit ribosomal RNA
Source: RNAcentral
AGAGUUUGAUCCUGGCUCAGAGCGAACGCUGGCGGCAGGCUUAACACAUGCAAGUCGAGCGGGCGUAGCAAUACGUCAGCGGCAGACGGGUGAGUAACGCGUGGGAACGUACCUUUUGGUUCGGAACAACACAGGGAAACUUGUGCUAAUACCGGAUAAGCCCUUACGGGGAAAGAUUUAUCGCCGAAAGAUCGGCCCGCGUCUGAUUAGCUAGUUGGUAGGGUAAUGGCCUACCAAGGCGACGAUCAGUAGCUGGUCUGAGAGGAUGAUCAGCCACAUUGGGACUGAGACACGGCCCAAACUCCUACGGGAGGCAGCAGUGGGAAUAUUGGACAAUGGGGCAACCCUGAUCCAGCCAUGCCGCGUGAGUGAUGAAGGCCCUAGGGUUGUAAAGCUCUUUUGUGCGGGAAGAUAAUGACGGUACCGCAAGAAUAAGCCCCGGCUAACUUCAUG